This 195-nucleotide non-coding RNA is filed under the name Alteromonas sp. Nap_26. RNAcentral describes it as "partial RNase P RNA component class A". It matches the Rfam family "Bacterial RNase P class A", at positions 1 to 197 of the family's 367-position model. From Rfam's summary of the family: Ribonuclease P (RNase P) is a ubiquitous endoribonuclease, found in archaea, bacteria and eukarya as well as chloroplasts and mitochondria. Its best characterised activity is the generation of mature 5'-ends of tRNAs by cleaving the 5'-leader elements of precursor-tRNAs. Lineage: Bacteria; Pseudomonadati; Pseudomonadota; Gammaproteobacteria; Alteromonadales; Alteromonadaceae. The record is from RNAcentral.
GGAGUUGGCCAGGCAACCGCCGCUUUCAUCAGAAAGGGGAGGAAAGUCCGGGCUCCAAAGGGCAGGGUGCCAGAUAACGUCUGGGCGGCGUGAGCCGACGACAAGUGCAGCAGAGAGAAGACCGCCUAAGCAUGUUUACAUGCCGGUAAGGGUGAAAGGGUGCGGUAAGAGCGCACCGCACCUCUGGUAACAGAG